CUUAAGAUCCUACUCAACUUCCGA
This 24-nucleotide non-coding RNA is filed under the name Arabidopsis thaliana (thale cress). The record is from RNAcentral. Lineage: Eukaryota; Viridiplantae; Streptophyta; Magnoliopsida; Brassicales; Brassicaceae.